This 585-nucleotide ribosomal RNA is filed under the name uncultured bacterium. RNAcentral describes it as "partial 16S ribosomal RNA". It matches the Rfam family "Bacterial small subunit ribosomal RNA", at positions 355 to 938 of the family's 1533-position model. The record is from RNAcentral.
UGGGGAAUUUUGGACAAUGGGGGCAACCCUGAUCCAGCAAUGCCGCGUGUGUGAAGAAGGCCUUCGGGUUGUAAAGCACUUUUGUCCGGAAAGAAAUCGCCCUGGCUAAUAUCCGGGGUGGAUGACGGUACUGGAAGAAUAGGCACCGGCUAACUACGUGCCAGCAGCCGCGGUAAUACGUAGGGUGCAAGCGUUAAUCGGAAUUACUGGGCGUAAAGCGUGCGCAGGCGGUUGUGCAAGACAGAUGUGAAAUCCCCGGGCUUAACCUGGGAAUGGCAUUUGUGACUGCACGGCUAGAGUGUGUCAGAGGGGGGUAGAAUUCCACGUGUAGCAGUGAAAUGCGUAGAUAUGUGGAGGAACACCGAUGGCGAAGGCAGCCCCCUGGGAUAACACUGACGCUCAUGCACGAAAGCGUGGGGAGCAAACAGGAUUAGAUACCCUGGUAGUCCACGCCCUAAANGAUGUCAACUAGUUGUCGGGUCUUAAUUGACUUGGUAACGCAGCUAACGCGUGAAGUUGACCGCCUGGGGAGUACGUCGCAAGAUUAAAACUUAAAUGAAUUGACGGGGUCAUAGCUGGUUUCCU